AACAGGUUAAUAUUCCUGUACUUGGUGUUACUGCGAAGGGGGGACGGAGAAGGCUAUGUUGGCCGGGCGACGGUUGUCCCGGUUUAAGCGUGUAGGCUGGUUUUCCAGGCAAAUCCGGAAAAUCAAGGCUGAGGCGUGAUGACGAGGCACUACGGUGCUGAAGCAACAAAUGCCCUGCUUCCAGGAAAAGCCUCUAAGCAUCAGGUAACAUCAAAUCGUACCCCAAACCGACACAGGUGGUCAGGUAGAGAAUACCAAGGCGCUUGAGAGAACUCGGGUGAAGGAACUAGGCAAAAUGGUGCCGUAACUUCGGGAGAAGGCACGCUGAUAUGUAGGUGAAGUCCCUUGCGGAUGGAGCUGAAAUCAGUCGAAGAUACCAGCUGGCUGCAACUGUUUAUUAAAAACACAGCACUGUGCAAACACGAAAGUGGACGUAUACGGUGUGACGCCUGCCCGGUGCCGGAAGGUUAAUUGAUGGGGUCAGCGCAAGCGAAGCUCUUGAUCGAAGCCCCGGUAAACGGCGGCCGUAACUAUAACGGUCCUAAGGUAGCGAAAUUCCUUGUCGGGUAAGUUCCGACCUGCACGAAUGGCGUAAUGAUGGCCAGGCUGUCUCCACCCGAGACUCAGUGAAAUUGAACUCGCUGUGAAGAUGCAGUGUACCCGCGGCAAGACGGAAAGACCCCGUGAACCUUUACUAUAGCUUGACACUGAACAUUGAGCCUUGAUGUGUAGGAUAGGUGGGAGGCUUUGAAGUGUGGACGCCAGUCUGCAUGGAGCCGGCCUUGAAAUACCACCCUUUAAUGUUUGAUGUUCUAACGUGGACCCGUGAUCCGGGUUGCGGACAGUGUCUGGUGGGUAGUUUGACUGGGGCGGUCUCCUCCUAAAGAGUAACGGAGGAGCACGAAGGUUGGCUAAUCCUGGUCGGACAUCAGGAGGUUAGUGCAAUGGCAUAAGCCAGCUUGACUGCGAGCGUGACGGCGCGAGCAGGUGCGAAAGCAGGUCAUAGUGAUCCGGUGGUUCUGAAUGGAAGGGCCAUCGCUCAACGGAUAAAAGGUACUCCGGGGAUAACAGGCUGAUACCGCCCAAGAGUUCAUAUCGACGGCGGUGUUUGGCACCUCGAUGUCGGCUCAUCACAUCCUGGGGCUGAAGUAGGUCCCAAGGGUAUGGCUGUUCGCCAUUUAAAGUGGUACGCGAGCUGGGUUUAGAACGUCGUGAGACAGUUCGGUCCCUAUCUGCCGUGGGCGCUGGAGAACUGAGGGGGGCUGCUCCUAGUACGAGAGGACCGGAGUGGACGCAUCACUGGUGUUCGGGUUGUCAUGCCAAUGGCACUGCCCGGUAGCUAAAUGCGGAAGAGAUAAGUGCUGAAAGCAUCUAAGCACGAAACUUGCCCCGAGAUGAGUUCUCCCUGACCCUUUAAGGGUCCUGAAGGAACGUUGAAGACGACGACGUUGAUAGGCCGGGUGUGUAAGCGCAGCGAUGCGUUGAGCUAACCGGUACUAAUGAACCGUGAGG
RNAcentral lists this ribosomal RNA (1512 nucleotides) under Shigella sonnei. RNAcentral describes it as "partial 23S ribosomal RNA". It matches the Rfam family "Bacterial large subunit ribosomal RNA", at positions 1424 to 2916 of the family's 2925-position model. The record is from RNAcentral. Lineage: Bacteria; Pseudomonadati; Pseudomonadota; Gammaproteobacteria; Enterobacterales; Enterobacteriaceae.